UGCUUUAUCUGGUUUCCUGAUAUUUCAA
RNAcentral lists this non-coding RNA (28 nucleotides) under Mus musculus (house mouse). Lineage: Eukaryota; Metazoa; Chordata; Mammalia; Rodentia; Muridae. The record is from RNAcentral.